This 936-nucleotide ribosomal RNA is filed under the name Pseudomonas frederiksbergensis. Its description in RNAcentral is "bacterial SSU rRNA". It matches the Rfam family "Bacterial small subunit ribosomal RNA". The record is from RNAcentral. Lineage: Bacteria; Pseudomonadati; Pseudomonadota; Gammaproteobacteria; Pseudomonadales; Pseudomonadaceae.
UUUGUUUUUAAUUAAAUUCUUUUUUAAAUUUUUUAUGUUUUUUAAGAUUUUAAAACCAGGCUCAGAUUGAACGCUGGCGGCAGGCCUAACACAUGCAAGUCGAGCGGCAGCACGGGUACUUGUACCUGGUGGCGAGCGGCGGACGGGUGAGUAAUGCCUAGGAAUCUGCCUGGUAGUGGGGGAUAACGCUCGGAAACGGACGCUAAUACCGCAUACGUCCUACGGGAGAAAGCAGGGGACCUUCGGGCCUUGCGCUAUCAGAUGAGCCUAGGUCGGAUUAGCUAGUUGGUGAGGUAAUGGCUCACCAAGGCGACGAUCCGUAACUGGUCUGAGAGGAUGAUCAGUCACACUGGAACUGAGACACGGUCCAGACUCCUACGGGAGGCAGCAGUGGGGAAUAUUGGACAAUGGGCGAAAGCCUGAUCCAGCCAUGCCGCGUGUGUGAAGAAGGUCUUCGGAUUGUAAAGCACUUUAAGUUGGGAGGAAGGGCAUUUACCUAAUACGUAAGUGUUUUGACGUUACCGACAGAAUAAGCACCGGCUAACUCUGUGCCAGCAGCCGCGGUAAUACAGAGGGUGCAAGCGUUAAUCGGAAUUACUGGGCGUAAAGCGCGCGUAGGUGGUUCGUUAAGUUGGAUGUGAAAUCCCCGGGCUCAACCUGGGAACUGCAUUCAAAACUGUCGAGCUAGAGUAUGGUAGAGGGUGGUGGAAUUUCCUGUGUAGCGGUGAAAUGCGUAGAUAUAGGAAGGAACACCAGUGGCGAAGGCGACCACCUGGACUGAUACUGACACUGAGGUGCGAAAGCGUGGGGAGCAAACAGGAUUAGAUACCCUGGUAGUCCACGCCGUAAACGAUGUCAACUAGCCGUUGGGAGCCUUGAGCUCUUAGUGGCGCAGCUAACGCAUUAAGUGACCGCAUGGAGACCCCGCACUUUGGG